UCACAAUUCUGGAGGCUAGAAGUCCCAGGUCAAGGUACAAAGAGAUUCAGGGCCUGAUAAGGGCCCCCUUCCUGGGGUAUAGACAGCCCCUUUCUUACCGUGACUUUGUAUGGCCUUUCCUUGGCGUGUGUGUGCACAUGGAGAGGAAGCUCUGGUGUCUUUCCCUCUUCUUCUCAGGGCACUGAUCCUAUUACGGGGACCCUAGCCUUAUGACCUCCAAAAGGCCCCCACUCCUAAUACUACCACAUAAUAGAUGCUUAGGGCUUCAACAUAGGAAUUUUGCGGAGACACAAAUAUUCAGUCCAUAACAGCUUUGGGUGAGGAUAGUUCAAAGAGGAGCUCAAAAGUGGAUACAAAGAUGUUUGAGGAGGUAGGAGGGUGGACUAAUAAGGGCACUGUCUACUCAAAAUUAAUGUGAGGCUUUACACCCUCACUUCAGGCCAAGGAUCAAGUUAGCUUGCUAGGUCAGAACUCCCUGUUCUCCCACUGGGUACAUUUGGGGAUGUUCUUUUAAAUGUUCAGGAAAACAACUGCUAAUGACUAAUUUGGAAUUAACAUGUGGUCUGUCAGCGGGAAGAGGCAUGGUGUUGUUGGAGUUGGAGUCAGGGCUAUGGCAGAAGAAACAGCAGGUACUGGGACUGGAAGGAACCACAGCAGGCAUCUCCUCCACUGGUUCUCAUCCUGGCCCCUGGAUUCAGUGGACAACCCCUCCCACCCACCAUCAACCAGGGCGGCUCCACUUCUACGUGUUUCCUGUAAUGAGGUCCUGUGCAAGAUUUUGAGAAAAGGACUCCACUGCUGAAAAAUAAGAGACUGCAUCCAGGAAGCCACCACCUGCUGAAAAGGAGCCAGUUGUCCUUCUCUUGCUCUCCUGCUGAAGUUCACCCCUCCAGGCUGAAGGAUUGUAGCUCCUAUUGCUUCUGCUGUCUGCCCCCUUACGGGUGAAGUUGCUCCAGGGGCUUAUGCAGUCUUCCUGGUGAGAGGGACUGGUGCCUGUCUACUGCCAGACUGAAGUCUCUCCAGGAUGACUGAGGGAAGGCUCUUGUACCCUGCAGUGGAUACAUUUCACACAGCACCAACUCAGUCACUUUUUGUGGAAUGACAGAGUCUGCCAUGGAAGCCAACCUGAUCUGAGGCAGGUCUGCCUCCAAAACACUGAUCUACAAACCCAACCUUUUGCCCUGAGAACCUUGAUACUCAAAGCCUCAUGUGACAUCCAUGGGAAGGGAGGGAGUUUUGUGAGAAUUUAUCAGGCACCAUGAACUCAUUUCAAAAAGAAGUAACCAGGAAGUUCCCAUCGUGGGUCAGUGGUUAUGAACCUGGCUACCAUCUAUGAGGAUGCAGAUUCAAUCCUUGGCCUUAUUCAGUGGGUUAAAAGAUCCAGAGUUGCCAUGAGCUGUGGUGCAGGUCACAGAUGAGGCUCAGAUCCCAUGCUGCCGCAGCUUUGUUUAGAUCCCUAGAGUGGGAACUUCCAUAUGCCUCGGGUGCAACCCUAAUAGGCAAAAAAAAAAAAAAGUAAC
This is a non-coding RNA of Sus scrofa (pig), 1520 nucleotides long. NCBI's taxonomy places the organism in Eukaryota, Metazoa, Chordata, Mammalia, Artiodactyla, Suidae. The record is from RefSeq and is a predicted model, not a curated record.